Molecule: ribosomal RNA, 660 nt
Filed under: uncultured bacterium
Lineage: Bacteria
Description: bacterial SSU rRNA
Rfam family: Bacterial small subunit ribosomal RNA
Source: RNAcentral
UAGUGGCGAACGGGUGCGUAACACGUGGGCAAUCUGCCGAGGAGUGGGGGAUAGCUCGCCGAAAGGCGAAUUAAUACCGCAUGUGGUGAGGGACGACAUCUUCCUGAAUCCAAAGCCGGGGCAACCUGGCGCUUUUUGAGGAGCCCGCGGCCUAUCAGCUAGUUGGUGAGGUAACGGCUCACCAAGGCAUUGACGGGUAGCUGGUCUGAGAGGACGACCAGUCACACUGGAACUGAGACACGGUCCAGACACCUACGGGUGGCAGCAGUCGAGAAUUUUUCUCAAUGGGGGAAACCCUGAAGGAGCGACGCCGCGUGGAGGAUGAAGGUCUUCGGGUUGUAAACUCCUGUCAUUUGAGAACAAGGCGCACGUAUUAACUGUACGUGCGUUGAUAGUAUCAGAAGAGGAAGGGACGGCUAACUCUGUGCCAGCAGCCGCGGUAAUACAGAGGUCCCAAGCGUUGUUCGGAUUCAUUGGGCGUAAAGGGUGCGUAGGUGGCGCUGUAAGUCAGGUGUGAAAUCUCGGGGCUUAACUCCGAAACUGCAUUUGAUACUGCGGUGCUUGAGGACUGGAGAGGAGACUGGAAUUUACGGUGUAGCAGUGAAAUGCGUAGAGAUCGUAAGGAAGACCAGUGGCGAAGGCGGGUCUCUGGACAGUUCC